AGACGGAGGGGGCUAGCGUUGUUCGGAAUUACUGGGCGUAAAGCGCGCGUAGGCGGAUUGAUCAGUCAGAGGUGAAAUCCCAGGGCUCAACCCUGGAACUGCCUUUGAUACUGUCAGUCUUGAGUUCGAGAGAGGUGAGUGGAAUUCCGAGUGUAGAGGUGAAAUUCGUAGAUAUUAGGAGGAACACCAGUGGCGAAGGCGGCUCACUGGCUCGAUACUGACGCUGAGGUGCGAAAGCGUGGGGAGCAAACAGGAUUAGAAACCCCAGUAGUCC
This 274-nucleotide ribosomal RNA is filed under the name uncultured bacterium. Its description in RNAcentral is "partial 16S ribosomal RNA". It matches the Rfam family "Bacterial small subunit ribosomal RNA", at positions 523 to 796 of the family's 1533-position model. The record is from RNAcentral.